RNAcentral lists this ribosomal RNA (444 nucleotides) under uncultured bacterium. RNAcentral's name for it is "SSU rRNA". It matches the Rfam family "Bacterial small subunit ribosomal RNA", at positions 26 to 518 of the family's 1533-position model. The record is from RNAcentral.
AGAACGAACGCUGGCGGCAGGCUUAACACAUGCAAGUCGAGCGCCCAGCAAUGGGAGCGGCGGACGGGUGAGUAACACGUGGGAACAUGCCCUUUGGUACGGGACAACUCAGGGAAACUUGAGCUAAUACCGUAUGAGCCGGUAACGGGAAAGAUUUAUCGCCAAAGGAAUGGCCCGCGUCCGAUUAGCUAGUUGGUGAGGUAAUGGCUCACCAAGGCACCGAUUGGUAGCUGGUUUGAGAGAACGACCAGCCACACUGGGACUGAGACACGGCCCAGACUCCUACGGGAGGCAGCAGUAGGGAAUCUUGCGCAAUGGGCGAAAGCCUGACGCAGCGACGCCGCGUGCGGGAUGAAGGCCUUCGGGUUGUAAACCGCUUUCAGCAGGGACGAAAUUGACGGUACCUGCAGAAGAAGGCCCGGCCAACUACGUGCCAGCAGCCGC